UACGUAGGGUGCGAGCGUUAAUCGGAAUUACUGGGCGUAAAGCGUGCGCAGGCGGUUGGUUAAGUCUGAUGUGAAAGCCCCGGGCUCAACUUGGGAAUGGCAUUGGAAACUGGCAAGCUGGAGUGUGGCAGAGGGGGGUGGAAUUCCACGUGUAGCGGUGAAAUGCGUAGAGAUGUGGAGGAACACCGAUGGCGAAGGCAGCCUUCUGGGCCAACACUGACGCUCAUGCACGAAAGCUGGGGGAGCAAACGGG
Molecule: ribosomal RNA, 253 nt
Filed under: uncultured bacterium
Lineage: Bacteria
Description: partial 16S ribosomal RNA
Rfam family: Bacterial small subunit ribosomal RNA
Source: RNAcentral